Molecule: ribosomal RNA, 253 nt
Filed under: uncultured bacterium
Lineage: Bacteria
Description: partial 16S ribosomal RNA
Rfam family: Bacterial small subunit ribosomal RNA
Source: RNAcentral
UACAGAGGGUGCGAGCGUUAAUCGGAAUUACUGGGCGUAAAGCGUGCGUAGACGGUUAUUUAAGUCAGAUGUGAAAGCCCCGGGCUCAACCUGGGAAUUGCAUUUGAGACUGAAUAGCUAGGGUACGGUAGAGGGAAGUGGAAUUUCCGGUGUAGCGGUGAAAUGCGUAGAUAUCGGAAGGAACAUCAGUGGCGAAAGCGACUUCCUGGACCAGUACCGACGUUCAGGCACGAAAGCGUGGGGAGCAAACAGG